This 29025-nucleotide long non-coding RNA is filed under the name Phaseolus vulgaris (common bean). RNAcentral's name for it is "long non-coding RNA (PVUL_LNC001936)". Lineage: Eukaryota; Viridiplantae; Streptophyta; Magnoliopsida; Fabales; Fabaceae. The record is from RNAcentral.
CUGGUAAGUGCUCCCUAAUCAACAAUGCAUCCAUGCACCUUCUUGUCAUACUGCAAAAUGUUAGUGUUUGGUAUUACUAGUUAUGAGUUUUGGUAUAAUAAUACUGAAGUUACAUGAUGAAUAAUUUGACUAAAUUUACAUGCAAUUUCUUGUUUUCAUGAUUUUGGUGUUGUUUGUGAAUUGAAAUUAGAGUUUUACCUCACUGGUUUACCUUAUAAGGGUCUGCAUUAAAUGUGAAACUCUAAUUCUGAUAAAAGAACACAACACAAAAGCAUCUACAGAACUGUAUUUAUAUUUUGUAUUGUGAAGAUAAAAUGACAGUAUGUGCUAUAACAUGAAGUGGGGUGUUGAAUAUUAUCUGUUUGAGAAAAUGACUGAUUUUGUUUGCAUGGGGUGGUUGUGAAAAACAGGUAUGGCCCUGACCGUCCCAAGUACUUGGGACCAUUCUCUGAGCAGAUUCCAUCAUACCUGACUGGUGAAUUCCCUGGUGACUACGGAUGGGACACAGCUGGAUUAUCAGCUGACCCUGAAACCUUUGCCAGGAACCGUGAGUUGGAGGUGAUUCACAGCAGAUGGGCCAUGCUUGGUGCUCUGGGAUGCACCUUCCCAGAGAUCCUUGAGAAGAAUGGUGUGAAAUUCGGUGAGGCAGUGUGGUUCAAGGCUGGUGCACAGAUCUUCUCUGAGGGAGGGCUUGACUAUUUGGGGAACCCAAACCUAGUCCAUGCUCAGAGCAUUCUUGCCAUCUGGGCUGUUCAGGUUGUGCUGAUGGGGUUUGUUGAAGGGUACAGAGUUGGUGGAGGACCUCUUGGUGAAGGCCUAGACCCUGUCUACCCUGGAGGUUCCUUUGACCCUCUUGGUCUUGCUGAUGACCCUGAUGCAUUUGCUGAGUUGAAGGUCAAGGAACUCAAGAAUGGUAGAUUGGCCAUGUUCUCCAUGUUUGGUUUCUUUGUUCAGGCCAUUGUCACUGGCAAGGGCCCUAUUCAGAACCUCUACGACCAUGUUGCUGACCCUGUUGCCAACAAUGCUUGGGCUUAUGCCACCAACUUUGUCCCUGGACAAUGAUCAUGUCUUUUUAGAUGCAAUGCAAUCUUCUGCUCCUGAAGAAUCUGCAUGAGAACAAUUAUAUAUAUCCCUGAAAUAUCAAACUCUUGACUUGUGUUGUUAUAUGGUUUUCUAUUUUCCACAUAACCUGAACUGAACAAACUUUUCCUAAAUGUUAAUUAGUUCAAACAUUGAAACCAUGUUGAAGGAAUCUAUCAGUGAUGUACCAAGAACACCAUCCAACGAUUAAGAACAUAAAAGAAUGAAUCCGCAUCAAUAAUAUAGUCAGUGUAUCAUAAUUAAAAUUCAUAAAUUUAUUUCUGAAAUGAUAAAAUAUAUUUCAUAUUUAUGAUACAUAAUUUGUAUUAUGGUACAUGUUUACUUUUAAUUAUUGAUGGUGUUUUUAAAAUAUUAAAAUUUUAUUUAAAAAUAAAGAUGGAUAAGAUAUAUUAAAAUAUAUAAGAUAUUGGGAGAAAACUAAAAUGCAUUAAAGAUCAUUCUAAAACCAUUUUUUAAAUACAUUCUCUUCCAGAUUGGUUUUCUUUCUUCAUUUCUAAAACACCUUUUUUCUCUGCCAUUUUUUGUAAGUUGUAACUAUCUCUGUUUUGCGCUGUAUUCAGCAACAUCCAACGUAAAUCUUCAUAAAUAGAAACAUAUGCAAUUGCAAUAAAGUAACGCUGAAACUGUCACAAUACCCACGUCACCAACAUCUUGUAACAAGAACUCAAUUCCCUUUGAGUUAAGAACCCUUCAUUCCUGCCUUCUGAUAGGAGUUUUUCUUUUUUCUUUAAUUGCAGUGCAGCUUUGUUUUGGUUUACAUUAAACUAUUUUUCACAACUUGAAUUUUCACACAUAAACUAUAAUUUUUUUUUUAUGGGGGAAUUGGAUAAUAGUGGGUGACAGUGGCUGUUUUAGUUUUACCCAUACAUGUUAUCAUAGUAAAUUUUGUUGUACAUUUGAUUGAACAGUAUAUAAUUUAGAUCAGAGAAAAGUAUUUAUCCGUAAGUGACUGAUCUGAACCUUGGUUGAAUGUAAAAUUUUCAAAUAUUCUGCAGUGGUAGACAUGGAUUUGUGAUGGAAGUUAUAGGGAUAGAAAACAUAGGGAAAGGGUUAAUUCGUGAUGGAACAGGGUUUGUGACAUUUCCUGUUAAGUACCAAGGUUCUGUCUUCAGACCAUUUAAGGGGGAGAUCUUAGAAGCUGUUGCUACCAUGGUGAACAAGGCUUAUGCAGUUCCAUUCUCUUUAGAGUAAUUAAACUAUAUAAACCUGAGAUAUUAAGAAUUGAAUUUUAAUCUAAUUCAAUCUCAUAAAACCGAUUUAAAAGGUGAGAUUUGCAGUUAUAUAAUAUGAAAUGUUUUAAUCUCUAAUCGAUGAUUCUAACAGUAGAAAACAGUAGAGAUUGUAGUUUAUGUCUGUUGUGCUAUGUUUGUAUCAGAUGGGAGUAGAGAUCGUAGUUUAUGACUGUUGUGCUAUGUUUGUAUCAGAAUGGAUUUUUGGCAGAAGCUGGACCUGUCCAAAUCUUUGUUUCAAACCACGUAUUUGUCUUUUAUAAUCUGAGAAAUGGUUUUUAUUAUCUACAUGUUAUAUCUAAAAGGCUAUUGUUCUUCAUUUUGAAUGGUAAAAAUGUGUUUUUAGAAAAGAUCAGUGCAUGAAUUCCGUUUUUAUGAACACAGGAAAAAUUCAUUGUAUUUUUAAAGAUGACUUAAUGUGUGAGAAAUUCUAGUUUUGAUAUUAAUUGCAUGACAGUGAAGGAAACAUCAUUUUUAUUAUAAGGUGGGAAAAAUGUAGGAUUAAAAGUUGAAAAGGAUAUUACUAUCUGAAGUUUUCUUUCACAAAAAAUGCUAUCUGAACAUCUUGCUUUCAAGUUGCACAAGUACAUAGUAAAUGCAUAGAAGAGACAAUAACUUUUGUUGCAUUUACUAUAUACUGCAGAGGUUUUUUAGUGUGUUUUUGGUUCCACGUUCUCAAGCACUGGACUCACUUUAGGCUCCAAGCUACACAGACUCACAGAGUAGCUUCUAUGUUUUUCCAUUAUUUAAUAUGAAAAGUUGUUCUUGUGUGUUUCCAAAGAUAAUGUUUCAUUCUUUCUAGUGUGCCCGAAAUUUAAUGCUUCUGUCAUAAUGUAAGAUAACAGAAGCAUAUAAAAGUUAAGUGAAGUUUUAUAUCCUACUUUAGCAUCCAACUAAACUAGCCAUCACUUUGUCUUCUAACACUUAGCCUACUCGUUUUAGCCAACUUCACAAGUCAAAUCAAAAACCCAUAUAAAAUCAUUAAAAAAAUCACUAAUCUCUGCUAAGACCACAACCAUUCAAAUUGCAUAAAUAUCCCAUCUUUAAAGUUAAUCUCAUCAUGGAUAUACAUUGUUAGUUCCACUGAGCUUGUUAGAGAAAACAGAAAAAUGAUGAACAACCCAACAUUUGAUCAAGAAGCAAUCAAAUUCAUUCCAACAAACUUCUAUGUAAGAACAGAGGCUACCAAGUUACACUCCCCGGGUAUCUAAGAAACUUGGCACAUUCAAAUUAGACAAAACUAAGCUUUAUGGCUUUCCAUCAAUCCAUAAUCCACAAGCAAAAUUGUGGAAAUUAAUCACAACUAAAUCUACAAUCUGAAAGUAGCUAGAGGGCAUCAUUAAAGAAACCUUAAUGUUACACAGUAGAGUGAGUUCAUCCUAUGUCUUCCCUUCAUGGGCACUGCAUUAGGACUAAUUUAAUCAUUGAGGGCAAAAGUCCAAAAAUAUUCCUUCUCUAUUCCUUUUGUCUCUUGUGCACACCUUCCAGCUCCAAAACAAGAAUAGCACAUUCAACAGUUAAAAGGUUAUUAAAAAGGGGGUAUUAUAGCAACAAGAUCAAACAAAGAAGUAGCAUCUUCCCCUAAGCAAACAGUGGCUAAAAUUGACAAGCCCAGAUAAGCAUUGCAUUACCUAACCAUUUAUUCUCCACAAUGCUCCCUUCCAAAUGCUACUCAGCACAAUCAUUUUGGACUCUACCUCUCACCCUUUUCCUCCUUCAAAAAGUCCCUUUGGCCACACAUCCAGCAAUAUACUAACUUUUAGCAGUUUUCUCCUUGGCAUUUUCUCAAACACCAGUCGAUUCUAAUCUCUGUUGCUAUCAUCAGGAAUCAGUAACAUGCACCCAAAUGAAAAAAAUAAACUAUGAACAGCUAAAAAUGAUUAUCUCCUAUACAUGCACUCCCUUGUAUUAUAUACCACUUCCAAGCCACUCCAUUCCAAACCCCACCAAAAUAUAAAGAAAACCCCAACUUCAUUUUUACUCACUGCCAAAUGGGUAGGCAAGGUAAUGAUCCUACUGCCUCUGUGAACUCCUCCAUUGCUCUUCUUCAAGAAAGGUUUAGACAGUUGGAGAAGGUCAAAGAAAGAAGAGAGGGGAAGCAACUCCUUCAACUCUUGUCAUCUCACAGCACCUCAUCAUCUAUUAUGCACAAUCCAUCAUCACAAAACUCUCAACAACAACAACAACACGCAAGAAUGGUGCCUCCUCUUCAUGAUUCUCUUUCUCUUGGCCUCAACUUCACACAAAGUUAUCACAACACCAUGAACGUGAAACCACCCACUUCCUCCAGUUUAUGGCCACAGGGAGCACCAACAUCAACAAAUUUUGAUACCUCAGACGUUGAUACUUCUCUUCAUCUGUAAAUAUCAUCACUACUACUUGUGUCAACUUCCUAGUAGUUUUUAUCGAAAAUGGAAUUUUGCAAAGAAUUUACCAAAAUGAACAGUUUUUAAAAAAUUUAUGUGAUGGACACGAAUUUGAAUAAUCUUAGUGACGAAUUGCAUGGUUGAUACGAUUUUAGUUAUUUCUAUAUGAAGAUAAUAUGUACAAAAUAGUAUAGUUGCCGUAGUAUUGUAUAUGUAUUGUUGUAUCAUAUGCAAAUGACUAUUAUCAUUAUACUGAAUACCUUAGAUAUUUAUAUCGUCUACUUUAUUAUUAUUCACGUUAAUAUUGAAGUCGUUUCAAUAUUAUUUUCUAAUAUUAUUUUCUUGAGUAUGUUGGAGAUAGAUUAGAGUUUUUAUAAUAUAUAAGUGAAUGCAAAUCUCAACUUCAUGAGUCAAUUUUAUGAGCUUGAGUUAGGCUUAAAGUUCACUUUUGUAAUAGAGUAUUUAAAGUUUGGAUUGAAAAUUAAUUUUACAGAGAACCAAAAAUAUAUUUAAUAUUUUAUAUUAAGAAUAGCAAUUUUGAUUAUAUAUUUAUUAACGUUUAAAGCUUUCAAAAUUGCUAUAUUUAUUUAUGAAAGUAAUUUUGUGAAAUAUGCAAAGACAUGGAUGCAUCAUGCUCUAUCGAAUAUCAAAUCACGCACUUAAAUUCAUAUAAACAUGUGCAUUCGGACACACAAACACGACAAUUAUUAUAUUAUGCUCUUUAUUUAUUUGGCACUAUCUCAAGGUUGUUUGUUGAACUUAUAUUUCUCAUCAUAUUAUAUGUCAUAUUGUUGAUUUUUACUGAAAAUAUUUAAAAAUUUGUCAAUAAUAAUUUUGAGUUUCAAAACUAAAUAUCUUUUAUUGCUUUUCUAUAUCUCCAAUUUAUUCAUAUGUAUAAAAUACUUAUUCCGACCUCAAGUUAGUAUUGAUAUGAUCAAUCAAUCAUUGUAUUUAAAGUAUUGUCCACUUAGAAGGUCGGUAUUUUCUCACAAUUUUGUCCUUAAAAGACGUAUCUGUGAGUUAGAGGAGAAAAAUGUAUUUAAACUGCCAUUAACCUCGAAUCCUAAGUGAUAUGAGACUAUAUUGGCAAUGCCAAAACAAUCAUUAAUAUAAUAUCUCAUAUAUAAUAUCUCAUGUUAUUGUUAUUAUUGUUAUUGUAUUUACGCAUUUAUAAAUAUCUAAUAAUAAAUCAAAAUCAUACUUUAUUUUAUUUUCCUGCUCCAAAUAAUUUACCAUAAACUUAAAAGCAAACAUUAUCUAACCAGUUUAUUUCAAAUUAUUACGAUGUUAUUAUUUACAAAUUUAUAUUUACAAGAAAACCUGAAAUAAAUAAUUAUUAAUUUUUAAUAAUUUUGCUGCAAAGUUUUAUUCGCAAGAAAAAAUUAUAUAUAAUUUACAUAUACAUGAGUAAAUUCACAAGUAAUUAUAAUUUUUUUCUUGCGCAUUAAUUUACAAAAGAAAAUCUAUUGUAUUUCGUGUGGAAAAACUUUCACCAUAAAAUCUACAAAUAUUUUCUGCUAAAUAUAUUUCAUAUGAAAAGUUUUCUUAUUUUAAAACCAACCAAAAUCUAAAACAACUCCAACCAUUCUAGUUCUCAAACCAUAUACUAUUUUACACCAUCCAUAUAAUACAUCCACUACAUUAAUAAAAUUAAAGAUUAAGUAUAAUGUGUAUAUAUAUAUAAUUAUCAUCUUUAAAUUAUUGCACUCACGUAAUUAAGAAGCCAUAAACACUAGUCCUUACAAACAAAAAAUUCAUUAAAAAAGAAAUACUUUGCUUCCUUAUUAAUUAUUCAGAUAAAUAUUACUUGCCCGACUAUUUAUAUAAUAAUUAAAAUUAAUGAUAAUUUAUAUACAAUUUUUUUCUUUAAUUUUCCAAAACUUUUGAAACGUCUUUAAAAAACAAAAUCAUGAUAAAAUUUUAAAAUAAAAAAUAUCACGAACGUAAAGGGUGAUUUACUAUAAGUUGGAACAAUUUGUACACAAUUAUUCUUGUUGGAAUAAAAUUGAGUAGGUUGCUUAAAAUUGAGUAAGUUAAUUCAAGAAUUGACCUGGUUUAAUGUUUCAUAAAUUAAACAAAGAAUUAAACAAAUAAGGGGGAAAUUAUAUAUCAAACCAUGCUUGAAGAAAUUCAGAAAACAACAUUAAUGUCUACGAUAAAUGCAAUAUAAUAAACUUAAACAUCUUGCUCUACCGCUCAAAUAACAUUACAUUCAGAAAAUAACAUUACAUUUAGAGAGUGACACUCAUUUUUAGAAUAAUCACAAAUAAUGCCAAAUGUAUUUGUAAGAAGAAAUAGAAAAUACAUAAAACCAAAGUGUUUGGCUGGGACUUCCAUAUCACAAAAAGUCAAAAUAUUUUGUAUGGGCAUCAGCAAAGUCAUUAAGACUCCUAAGUUCUUUCUUUAUGUUAUCUAACUGUCGAAUUAAAUGAUCAAGUGUCUUAAGAACCUCACAAAUUUGUGUAUUUGCAUGGUCCAACUUAUUUCUUGUCACAACACGUUGACGCAUUUCAUCAACCCACGAUCUCUCAAAUCCAAGUUGAACAACUUCAUCACAUAGUUUAUGGAACUCCUUUUCUCUCUCAGGAUUAACACUAUCAACACUUUCAGUUCGAAGGAACAACAACAUAUUUGCCAAUGUUUUCAACAUCCAAGCUUGAAAGCGAUCACUAAACUUCUCACAAGCAUUCCAAAGAUGAGGAUAUGCUGUUAUCGCCUCCACUAGUAGAGAAAUUUGUGAAUCAUCGAGAUCAACAAACUGCUUAUACUCUUCCAGUUUUAUACGAUUUACUGUAUAAGUUGUAAAAAGAUUGAGAAGUAGGUGACAUAUAAAUAAAAGAUGAAAAAUAGACAAGAGAAGAGCAAUACCUGGAGUAACCUCAACUCCAUUAUCAAAAACAAUUUUUAUUCCCUUUGUUUUAUCCAACAAGUUCCCCUCGUCUUGGAUUUUGAUAUUUUUAUAUGGUGUUAUUCCUGCCUCGUCUUCAUUCAUCUUAUCAUCUUGUUUAACAAGCUGGGAAUCUUGUGGAAGUAUAUAUGCACCACUUGACUUGUGAAUUGUAACACCUCUAUCCAAGCUAAUGUUAUCUACACCACUUGACAAAGUUUUAGUAACAACUCCCUCUAAUGGAGACCCUUCUUCGAUCUUUUGUCGUCCUAUUUCCUCAAUAUUCUGUACAUCACGAAUGAAAAAUGAAUGUUUGCGUAUCUUUUAAGUUAUAGCUUUGAGAAGCAUUUGUUUCAUAACAUACAUCAUGUGUUAGUACAACAAUAAUCUGAGCAAUUUUAGUGGUUACCAUUAUUUCUUCGUGUGCAUGUUGGUGUGGAAGACCUGUUUCAUUGUUUGAUUCUUUGUGCACCAACUUUUAUUUGAAAUAUUGAACAAGCAUAACAAAAAUUAGUGUUUAUCGAAGGAGAUUUGUUUACAAUCCUAGUCAUUUUUAAAUUUAUAAGCAAAUGUAUUUUAUGCAAGAGAGUUACCAUACAAGUGUUUGGGAUGGACUUCUCACCUUAAAAACAUAAGUUGGUGUUAUUUUAAUUUCUUCCAUCAUGUAGUUUACUAAUGUAUAAUUUUUUAGAAGAUUAAAAUAAAAUAUAUAAAUACCUCAAUCAUGUUUGAAGAAGAAAUGAUUGGCAAAUUUUGCUCAAUCGCUUGUAUGUCUGAUAUCUUUUCACUUGUUUUGUCUAUUUUGUUCAACUUUUCUGAUUCAGAUACAAGUGCUUUGGUUUCUAUUUUUUUAUGUUCAUGUAAGAUUUCAGCUGUGCUUCCCAACAUAGAUUCAGUGUUAUCAUUAACUGGUGAAGAACAUGGUUUAUUUUCAGAUGUAGGUGGAUCUUCUUGGUUCAUUUGAAGAGGAGAAGUGUUUUCUGACAUAUAACGUUUAAGCUGAAAAUAAUUAAUUGUAAACAAGUUGAACUAUGUUCAAAAGGAGAAUUGAACACAACACUUAAACAUAAACAUGCAUAUAUCUUUUCACUUAAACUAAUAAUUAAAAUAAUAAGAAUUACCUUGCGAGUUGUGCUACUAUUAUCAAGUUGUGAGCAUCCAUCGAUAUAAAAUCUCUUCAAAGAUGGCCAUGCCUUGGACAGAGAGUUGGUAGCACAAAUACUAAUAAUGUUUGGUAGCUUAUCAAGAUAGAGUUCUUCCAAUGUUGGAAAAUGAAGAUGAAUCUCCUUAUCAUUUUUAUUAUCAAGAUGGCAUUGGCCAAUCAUAUAUUUCAAUUGGUCACAAUUGUACACUGAAAGAGUUCUUAAGUUUGGAAAGAUAGCAUCCAAAUUCUUACUCUCAUAUUCAUCACCAAUGUCUAUUAUGUGCAGAAGUUUAGGACAAUCCUCAAUACGCAAAUUUUGCAACAUCAAUAAUGAAGCAAUAGACAAAUCAAAAAGGUAUUUUUCAUUAUCAAAACCUUUUAGAUUAAUUACUCCAAUAUUACGCAUGAUGAGAAAAUUCAGACCUUGUGGUUGCUCUGAAAGAUAUUCAACACUUUCAAACAAGUGAAGAGAAUCUGAGCUAGAUAUCUGCAAUCCACACAAUUUGUCUUUAAUCAUUGAAGUGAUUAAUUUUUAAUAUAUAUAUUUUUUGAAAACUGAAAUUUAACAAAAGGAAUAGCUAUUCUCUCAAAAUAAUCUCCACCAAUCUAAUAUAUUCAAGCUACCAGCAAACCAUAAUGCAAGUAAAACCAUUUAUUUUUUAUAGCACAAACAUGAACAAAGAGAGAUAGGCAAAGUGAGUGACAGUUAAUCAUACCUUGAUUUUAAUAUAAUCCGAGUGUCUCAUUUCUGAAGCAUUUGAUGAACAAUUUACAGUGGAAAAUUCAACAUAUCUUCCCACACUCAAUGAUAGUGUUUCCAAAGAUGGACAUCUUACAUAAUAACUAUAUGGGAUUAUGUAGUUGGGGAGAUAAUCAAGUAUGAGUUUUUGUAAAGAAGGAAGCUCAGUUUGGGUACUUUUUUGUGGUUGAUGACAUGUGUUGUCUUUUGAAUUAGAACUUUCUUCAUUUCUUGUUUCAUUCAAUUUCACCAUGCCUCCAACAAAAGACUUUGGGAAUAUAUGUUGCAAUAAAUCACAUUUGUUAAUACCUCUUCCAAAUUUAGAAACAUUGAAAGAUCACUUUGGAAAUCAUGGCCAUCUUCAACCUUGUUUUCCUUUUGAUUUCUUUUGACUCUUGCCUGAGUUAUUAUAUGCUUCAAACCAUGACAAUCAUCUAUCCUCAAAUAUUUUAAUGAAGUCAAGGUCUUAGCUACAGAUGUCUCAAACAAAGACCCCAACAUUGAACAUGAAUAUAUGCGAAGAAUUACAAGGUUAAAUAGAGUAAAUGAUCCUGAAAAACAAUUAUAAAUAAAAAAUAUUAGAGUUAAUUAUAUAAAUCUUUAUGUCUACAUCUUAUACUCUUGUUUUCAAAAUAUUGAUCUAAAGGGGUUAAAACUACAAACCCAGACAUAAGAAAAUGAUAAUGAUGAAAACUUCAUCUUAAUCUUAAUUUUAGUUCCUAUGUUCUAAACUUGUAUUCUUUUAAUCUAUAGAGAUUCUAUUUUUAGUUUACUUUAUUCAUUAAAUAAUAUAUAAAACUAAAAGAAAUAAAAAAAUGCUUAGUAUUUUAGGGACUAAAAUGAAAUUGUCUUAAUUGUAUACACUAAAAUAUAAAAUUUUGUAACAACAAAGAUGAAAUGAGUAAAAAAUACCUGCGUUACGGUUUACACUGGUUGGUGAUGGAAUUGAAGUGGUUUUGAAGUGGUUAGAUUCAAAAUGUUGAUGCUUAUCUUCCUCACUAAUUUCAUCUCUUUCUUCUUUUUCAUGAAUAACAUCCCCAAUUAUUUGUUCUAGCAUAUCACAUUUGUUUAUAUAAAGCAUUUUCAAUUGAGACAGAUCUCCUAUGGUACUCACUGAGAAUACAUGAUUUAAUUUUCCACAAUCAUCUAUCAACACUUCUUGAAGAUUUUGGAAAAUUUUGGAUGGCAGGGAACACCCAACUGCAUAGUCACCUGGAACAAUGACAUAUGUCAACUCUGGACAAUUUCUUAAACAUAGUUUCUUUAAUUUUUCAAAAGACCCACUGCCAGGUACACAACCAUGCCAUAAAGCUCUUAGAUAUUUCAUCUCCAUGAUGAACAGGGUAUGCAACUUGGAGAAGAGAUUUCUCACCUUAUUCAAAUCAUUGCUAGUGUCAACCAAAUACUCAAUCUCUUCAGAAUUCAUUAUUCUCAAAUCAUUCAACUCAUUCAUACCCCCUUCAAUUUCAAAUAUAUCAGGCAUCAUAUUUUUUACAUCUCCUUCAAUAUUUUCUAUAAAGAGAUCCUUUGCUUCUUUUGCCAAACCCUUAAUAACCUCAUUUGAUAUGUUAAAAUUAUGAAGCACUAAAGUUCUUUGACAAGAGAUAAAUUCUGAUGAUAUUGAAAUAUGAGGAAAUUGUUGUCCUAAUAGAAUUCCAUACCUUUGUAGUGUUUGGACAAAACUAAACAAGUUAAAGCAUUCAAUGAACUUUCUAUCAUUGUACUUUGAUUUUGUUUGAAUGAUAUACAAUUCUUCUAAAAGUGGGAUGCUUUUGAUCUCUUCAAGAUUCUUCACUUCAAUGUCACAUUCAUUAAACUCUAACAAUUUCAAGUUUUUAAGUUGUCUAAAUGCAACAUCAGUUUGCAAAUCAAUGAAUGAAGGCCAUGAACAACCAUGCAAUGAAAGACUUUGAAGUUUCUUCAUAUCUCUUACAAAUGAGAUGUCACUCAAUUUCCAGUAUUGAAGGACUAGACAACGAAGAUUUCUUAAUGUUUUGAAAGACCUUGUUGACAACCGCAAUGCAUAAUCUCUAUUUGGAUUGGUAAUAAUCAAAACUCUAAGUUUUCCCAUUCUUUCAAAAAUUUCAUCGGAUACUUCCAAUUUUGCUUUUAUGCACAAAAACUCAAGAUUGGAACAAUCCAUAUCAUCUGGAAAUUUCACACACCAUAGAUAUCUUAUUGGACUUUGCUCCAAAGUUACAUCCUUUUCCGUUUCACACGUGAUGAUGUUAUUAUCAUUCUUUGCUAUCCAGUGGGCUACAUCGCGAACCAAGUCAUGCAUUUUGACACUUUCAUAAUCUGCAUCCAAUAUCAGACAACAACUUACAAGCUUAAUUUUGGCUGCCAUCACUUCACUCCUUGCAUUUUCAUAUGAGUUAACUUCUCCAACCACACCUAACCCAAUUGCAUAUCUUAUUAAACAUUCGACUGGAAUCUCAUAAUCUUCGGGGAAUAAAGAACACAACAGGAAAAGUGAUUUAGCUUCUUCAGAAUCUAGAUUAUCAUAACUCAAUUGUAAACACUUAUAGGGAUCUUGCAAACCUUUUCCAAUAUUGAUUGGCUUAGAACUUCUCAAUCUAUUCAAUGCAACACUCCAUAUCACAUCUUUUUUUCCCUUCAAGCUACUAGCAACAGUUGCAAUGGCAACAGGCAAUCCUUUACAUUCAUCUGAAAUUGAUUUUGCUAAAUGCUUGAUGGUUUCAGGGGUGUUUUCAUAUAUAACUGCUUUUUUUUGGAACAAAUUCCAUGCUUCUUCAUUAGUUAAGAUUGGCAAAUAAAUAUUUCUUUGACAAUCCAUUGAAGUACAAACUUCUUCUGAUCUAGUGGUAAUGAGAAUCUUGCAACCUUUAUGGUGUUUAGAGGAGGGAAUCCCUAUGCGACCAAAAUCAAGCUUCUCCCACACAUCAUCUAGAAUCAUAAGAAUAUUUUUUUCUUGGAUUAAUCUUAUGCACAAGCGUUGGGCUCUCUCCAUUUCUUCAUUUUCUAGAAAUUUAUACUCUAAUGAACUGCCAAUUUUUUCUUGAAUCCUUGGAACUUCUACUAUACUAGACACAGGCACAAAAAUAAUUUUGUCAAAAAGAUGCUCAUCUUUUGCCAUCUUCUUAAUUUCCAUUGCUAAUGUGGUUUUACCACAACCCCCCAUCCCGUACAAUCCAAUCAUGGCAACCCCAUUAUCUUUAAGUGCUUCCACUAGUUGAUCAAAAGCAAUUUUUCUACUAUCAAAAUUCAUACAUUUUUCUGUGAGAAUAUCAAGAGUAUUUGAAGGAAUUGAAGUAGUGCGUUCAUGUUGUAUAUAUUGUUUACCUUCUUGAAUGAUAUUUUGAAGGUCCUUUUUUUUAUUUGCCAACUUCUUUCCUAAACGGUAUCGCCAACUCCAAUUUGGACAGUACCCUAAACAACAACUUUUUUUGGUUUUUGCCUCUUUCAGUAAGCGAUUCACUUCUUCUGCAUCAAUCUUAGCAUUCUCCACCCACUUAUCCAUAACUUCUGCAGUCUUUAAGGUUUGUUUUCGAGCAUGUGUGACACGAUCUUCGACACUCUUUCUUGUUUCGAUAAACUUAUCUUUUUCUUUUUCAAGCUCUUUAACAAAACCAUUAAAGCAAAAGGAGUAAUGUAAUUGAUUCACAGUCUCACAUACCAAACCUUUUAAAAUAUCAGCCAAAAUAUCAAAAAUGGUGUCCAUUAAUUCUCCCUUCUAAAUUCAACUUAAUUAACCUGAUCUUACAAAACAAAUAAGAUGACCAUAUUUCAGAAUGAGUUUUAUAUCCAAUUAAAACAUAACUUUAGAUAGGUUAGAUUAAAAAAAAAAUCAUUUAUAAACUAUAAAAUUUUAAAUACGACGGAGAGUAUUUUUUUUUUUUAUGAAAAAAAAAUUCUAUACUUAAAUAUUUCUCCUUCUUCCAAAAAAAUGAAAUUCAAAAUAUGAAUAUACUUAAAUGUCAAACAAAUUUUCCGACUUUCCAGAGGAAUAAAGUAACAACGUUAAAAAGUUGUCUAAUAAUACUUGUUCACUAAACAAGUACCAUUUUUUAUUAGUAAAAAAAGGCUAAUGUCCUCAAUUGAAACUUAAACAUGUUUAUAUAAUAAUCAAUUUAAAAUAGGUCGAGUACAAAUACUCGUGAAUCUUUAAUCACAAAGUGGAAAUAAAGGUUAUUUAAUGUAAUUGAUUCUGGAAUUUAUCAUAUGUUUGAUAGAAAAAAAUAAAUAGAAGAAGAGAAAAAAUAAGGAAGAAAAAUAUGUGAAAAUUACCGAACAAAUAAAGUUUGUUUUAAAAAAGAAAAGAAAAUAAUUUUGUAAGGAUAUUUUAUAAUUUUAAAGGACAGGUUUUUAAAGAACAAAGUUUAAGUUAAAUACAAAAUGAAUAUUUUAAUAUAAAAAAUUAAGAUUAUAUAUAAUACAAAUAAUUUAUAUUUUAUAUAAUUAGUUAUUAAUCGAAAAAAGUAUUAUGAAUUAUUUUAAACGUAAUCACAUAUUUAUAAAGUCAUUACUUUCACUUAUUAUUUUGAAAUAUCAUUUAAAGUAACUAAUUAAAAAAUAUAAUUAAUAUAAUAUUUAAUGUUAUUACUAUAAUUGUAUUUACACAUUUAUAAAUUAUCUAAUAAUAAAUUUUUUUGUAAAAUAUUUAAUAUUUAAAUAAAAUGAUAUUAUAAAAUUGAAAUUUUUAUCACGCCCAAAAAACAUAUAUAUGUAUAAUUAUUAAUUAUAAACAUAAGAAAAAACUAAGGAUAUGUAAACAAAGUAUUCACAAUCAUCAAAAUGAAUACUUAUAUUUCUUUAGUUUAAAAUUUAACUUUUAAAAAAUGUAUAUGUAUAAUGAUUAAGUUGGUUAUAUCAUCUAGUUGGCUAUAUAAUAAAAACAUAAUAUUUUUCAUUUAAAAUAUUAAUCAUUUAGAUUUAAUUAUCAUUAUAUAUCUAAAUCUCAACCUACUUUCACUUUAGAAAAUGGAUAAAAUUGAAAAACUAAUCCUUGAACGAUGAGAAAUUAGGAAAAAUUAAAAUUAACAAAAAUUGCAACUAGAUAGGAGAUAAAAGAAAAAUGAGAAAGCUUCAAUCACCUACCUCUUUAUUCAGAGUAUUGAUGCUAUAUCUGCAAUAAUGAGUGACUUGCCCAGAAAGACAGUUCAAAGUCUGCUACAAGAAACAGUAUUAUUGAUUAGGAAUAUUGAAUAUAUGAUCUAAAGAAAUUUGCAACUAGGAUUUUGAGAAAAAAUAUGAAAGCUUACCUCUUAAAAAUAUUGUGAGGAGUUCUGAAUUAAUUAUAUAUUUGUGGAGAUUGGUGAGUUUAUGAUCCGAAAGAGGUGUUGUUGAGUGCUAUAUGAGUAGGUUGGCUGAAAUGAAGGUGAAUUAGGGCAUAAACAUAUGAAGGAUAUCAUGCUGUACAAAGAAAAAAUGAACAUAUCCCUUGUAUGAAGUUAUCCCUAAAGUGUAUCCCUUGUAUGAAGUUAUCCCUAAAGUGUUAGCAAUAAGUUGUGUGAUCCUCCAUUUGUGGCAGUUAUUGAGCAUCCAUGAAGUUUGCAAAUGAAAGGCAACUUGUUGGAUUCUCAGAAAAGUUUCUUCACUUGUAACCAUGCCAAGAAGAAAGCUAAUGACAGUGAGAAUUUGGAAACAAUUAUUCUUGUUGGAAUAAAAUUGACUAGGUUGGUUAAAGUUGAAGUAAUUUGAAGCCAUAUAAAAAGAUUAAGUGGGUUGCUUUCAUGAAAAGCAUUGGAGAUGCUUUUAAAAAAUAUUUUAAAAGAAUAGCAAAUGAGGAAAAGUUGAGUUAUGCUAACAAUUUCAUGCGUGGCUGCAACUUUGAAAAGUAAAGAAAGUAUUGCAAAAAUGGGUAUUAUUGAUAUGCCUAAAAGAACUAUGUAUGACUCAGAAUGAUGUUUACAAGGUGAUUGAUGAAUGUAUGGUAUGUUUCCAUAAGCUAACACCAGAAUUUUUAGACACCACUUCUCUUGACUUAGAACAUGAGAACAUACACAUGCAACUCAAUCAAAUGAAUGGCUUCCACGUCUCCAUAUUUUGGCAGAUAUUAUCAAGUGAUGAAUAGUUUCAAUGCACAGCAGUUAUGACUAGAAAGCUUCUUAUAACAUGACUCAUUAAAGGAGAAGUUUCCAAUUCAAUGAGUAUAGCCCCACCAUAAACUCAAGGUUGUCAACGUCUAAGCAAUUUGUUUCUCAAGCCAUUAGUAUACUUCCUCGUUUGCAUACCAAGACAAAGAGGGAGAAGAAGAAGAAGGAGAGAAAGACGAAGAAGACAUGAUUAACCUAGAAGAAUGUAAGGAAAUCAGUGCGCCAUAACGAGUAGGUUUAGCAGGGAAGCAGUCACUUAGAACAGUGGGAGACCACUAUUUAUAGCCUUUGAGGAAGGAGGAAGACUGAGCGUCGCUAACGUCACGCGUUUGGUGUCACUAAAGUCACGUCCCACCUCGGAAAGCUCAAUCGUCACUUCGAUCUUAGAUAAAGACUCUUUAAAUUAACCAUCUUCGAAUCUGGGGACAAGUGUACCAAUAGGAUCUGCACGACCGAAACUAUGACUCGACACUUGAUUCAAACCGACCGACAUGACGACAACGAGACUGAUUACCAACGUUUGUUAAUAUCCUUUUAUUAGGUUCAUUAAUGAUAAUGAGCCCACAAUAAUUGUAUAAAUUAACACAGAUCCCAAAGGAUAGGUACAUAAUCAUCUAAUCCUAAAUUCUGAGUGCCGAGUGCUGAAAUCUGACUUGAGUAUUAAAAUACUUUUUGCAUGUAUCAUCCGAAUCUGGAGUUAGCAAGGAGGAGGAGAGGAAGAGCAAGAAGGUAAGAGUUCAACUGAGAGGAAGGAACAGAUCGACCGACCAACCAAAAAAGUGUUUGAAUCUUAAUUCGAACCUUGAUAAUUGUACUUAAACAUUUUUCAAAAAAUUAAAAUACAUUGAUGACAAGAUAUUUUCUUUUAAAUAAAAUCAACUACCGUGAUUACUUAAGUAAAUAAAUCUAAAUCAUUAUUUUUUUUUUGGCAAAUUAAUUUUGUUUGUCCCAUUAAAAUACUUUAUUUACCUCCGUGAAUAAGACAGUUAGAAAAAAUAAUAUUUUCCUUAAAAAUUUAAACUUAGAGUAAUAUAUUUCUCGUUACCUUUUAGAAAAUAACAUUUCAGAAAAUCAUAUUUACGGAAAGUGAUUUUUUUUUGUCAAACUUAUAAGAGAAACAUUACAUUUUCACGAAGGUGAGAAAACUAACUUUUCUGUUCUCCAAAUUAAAAUUAAAAUUUUGCUGAAAAAUAAUAUCAUAUUUUUUUUAUAAAUUAAUGUAGUAAUGAGUUAAAUAUUUUAAUAAAGAAAGACUUACUCUUUUAUUUCAUAAAACUUGUAUAAACACUUUCAACAAUAUUUUUCACCCAACAAAACCAAGUAUUUACAGAACUCAUAAUUUAUGCGGCUUAAUGUUACUAUUUAUUAAAUUAAUAGAGAGUAUUUUAUAAAUUAAAAAAUUAUUUAUAUUUAAACUAAUUUUUUAAUUAAAUUAAUAUUUAAUUUAAUUAAGAUAAUAAUUAAUUAUAUUAAUUAUUUAAUUUUUUAUUUAAUAACAUUUUUUUAGUAAUAAAUCACUGUAUAAACUAGUUUUAAGCUAUCAUUACAAGAAUGUUCAUUUUCUUAUAUUAUUAUUACAAUAAAAAUAAUGGGGGCAUGAAAAAUAAGUUAAAAAAACCGAAAAGGGGAACUAGUAGAAUCGAGAAGCUUCGCCAUAUUUUUUUGAUCACACAACAAAUUCAAACCCCUUCUAAAACCCUACCAUUUCUCUGCUUAACCAAACGCACUUUCUUCGUCUCUUUCUCUCUCGCCACAAUCUUCUUCUCUCAUCAAUUCACCAUGCACAAACUCUCCACCACUGCUCGCUCUUCUUCCGUCUCCGCCUUGUUGCGCUAUGGCGGCGCACUUCGAAGGGACGUGGUUGCUCCCAUUUCCUCUUCGCACUUAGCCAAGGUUUCCAUUUCUUUCACCUUUUUCGCUUUGUAAAUUUCUCUUCAUUUCGAUUUUUCAUGCCAUAAUCCCUAGCUUGCUAUUCGUUUGUGUUUGCUUCUGCAUACAGUGAUUCUGUUUGUUUUUGUAAUAUUGCGGACUGGCAUACUGCAUAUGUAGAUCACGUUAAUUGAUUAUGUAGUGUUAGUUUAUCUGAUGUUCGUGGAUAACAAACACGUGUUGCAUCCAUUUUGUAAUUGUCGGGUUUUGUUUGUGAGGAGCAGGUGAGUGAGAAUGACUCUCAAACUAGAUGGUUUUCUAUUAUGGGAUCGGAAAAAUCCAGCACGAUUGAAUCUGCAAAUUUUCCAAACUCGAGAAGAGAUUUGUUUUUGGGUAGACGAUGUGAAUCAACUGCUGCAGAAUCUUCUGCGUCUAGUUCCCCACCAGCUGAGAGAUAUGAAUACCAAGCUGAGGUAUGGCUGUUUUUCAUGUUGUAUGGUGUCUAGUGCGUAUGGUAUUGCUUACUUGACUUUGGAUAAUAUGCAUCAUUGGCAGGUUAGUCGGCUCAUGGACCUCAUUGUUAACAGUUUAUACAGUAACAAAGAAGUGUUUCUUAGGGAGCUUAUUAGGUAUGCUCUUACGAAAUUGUAGAUGUUUUUUAGCGCUGAUAAAUUAUUCAAGUUUCUCUUUCGUCUUUUCGGGAAACUAUUUCUAGGAAGAGAGUUGAAAUUUUCAAUAUAGAAUCCUUGUCCUUGAUAUUUAUUGGACGUAUGUAAUUCCGUGUUGCCCAAUCUGUUUAUCUAUACAUUUUGAUGUACAGCAAUGCAAGUGAUGCUUUGGAUAAGCUGCGGUUUCUGAGUGUAACAGAGCCUGGGCUGUUGAAGGAGGCAGUUGAUUUUGAUAUCCGAAUUCAAGCUGAUAAGGAUAAUGGGAUCAUAUCUAUUACGUAAGAGAAAUGACUGUGAUUAAUAUUUGAUAUAAGAUUUUAAUCUCAGUUGGUGCUGCAACUUAUGUUUUAUGCAGUGAUACAGGCAUUGGUAUGACUAGGCAAGAGCUAGUUGAUUGCCUUGGAACUAUAGCUCAAAGUGGAACUGCAAAGUUUUUGAAGGCUCUAAAGGUCUUAACUUCUUCUGAAAGAUGCUUUAAGAUUUUACUGUCUUUGUUUGCUUUUGCAUUCAUAUAUAUUACCAUCUGACAAAUGUGUAUCAUUUAAAAGGAUAACAAGGAUGCCGGUGGUGACAACAACUUAAUUGGUCAAUUCGGUGUGGGAUUUUAUUCUGCUUUUCUGGUUUCUGAUCGGGUAUGCAUUUGUGUAAAAGUAAAUAUAUCAUGGUCUUUUAUUUUUUCUUUAAUUUGGUUAUGACAACUUGUGUUGUUUGAAGGUGGUUGUCUCAACAAAGAGUCCAAAAUCUGAUAAGCAAUAUGUUUGGGAAGGGGAGGCGAAUGCUAGCUCAUAUACCAUAACCGAGGAAACAGAUCCUGAGAAGCUGAUUCCAAGGGGAACUCGUCUUACACUUUAUCUCAAGGUAUGUUGAUAAUCAUCUUUUUUUAACAUUAAGUAAUUAUUUUAGUUUUCUUUUUUCCCAAGCUUACAAAUGUGAUUUCAUUAUGCCCAUUGCUACCUUUCAGAGGGAUGACAAAGGUUUUGCUCAUCCAGAGCGGAUUCAGAAGCUUGUGAAAAACUAUUCACAAUUUGUCUCGUUCCCAAUAUACACUUGGCAGGAAAAGGGAUACACCAAAGAAGUAUGGCUAUCUAAUCCAGAUCUUUUCAGUUUGAUGACACUAUCUAUUAUAAUAUUACUUGUGUUGAGUUAAUUUCAUUCUCCGCUAGAUUUUAGUAUUGACUUUUUCAGCAUUAAUAGUGUUUUGAUCUUAUUCUAGGUGGAGGUUGACGAGGAGGGUACAGAUGAAGCUAAAAAGGACAAUCAAGAUGAGAACACCGAGGUAACAUUCUGAUUGUUCUGCGUAUGUGAUGAAUUCAUUAUUUUCAUUGAUGUGAAUGUGAAUUGUGUAGCUGCUGCAAAUUUACUCAUUGACCAGUGACUUUGACCAAUUGUCAUGACAGAAAAAGAAGAAAACUAAAACUGUUGUUGAGAGGUACUGGGAUUGGGAGCUAACAAAUGAGACCCAACCAAUCUGGGUUAGUUUUAUGAUUUCCAAUUUCAUGAGGUACACUCAAACAUUUUAAAAAUUAUUACUUGAAUGAAGUGGAAUUAUUCUAUUAUGCAGCUCCGUAAUCCUAAAGAAGUCACUAAGGACGAGUACAAUGAAUUCUAUAAGAAAACUUUUGAUGAAUACUUGGAGCCAUUAGCAUCCUCACACUUUACCACAGAGGUAAGGAUUUUAUGGUCUCAAGUGCCCCCUUGUUGUGCUUAGUGGAUAUUUUUAUCUGUUAAUGACAAUUCAGAGUUUGGCUCGAAAACUAGCUUGAUAAAGUCAAUUUUUCACCAUAUUCCUGAGGAGAUUCAUAGUGUUACAAGUAAUAAGUGUGGUGAUGCUUGUUAUUUCAGGGUGAGGUAGAAUUUAGAUCUAUACUUUUCGUUCCUGCCUUUGCUCCCUCAGGGAAGGAUGACAUAAUCAAUCCCAAGACCAAGAAUAUAAGACUUUUUGUGAAGAGAGUAUUCAUUUCAGAUGACUUUGAUGGGGAACUGGUAUAAGCACUUUGCUAUCUACAUUCUACAACCUUGAGUAGCUGGUUGGUGUUGUCAAAAUUGUAUUAUUGUGGACUAAUGUGUUUGUUGCGCAGUUCCCCCGUUACUUAAGCUUUGUCAAAGGUGUUGUGGACUCAAAUGACCUCCCACUUAAUGUGUCACGUGAAAUUCUUCAAGAGAGCCGCAUAGUAAGUACAUAGGGCAAUGUGAAUAUGCUUGAUCUUUACAUCUGGAUCUCUAUUUUAUCAUACUAGUUAUGCCUUACUUAUUUUUUCCUUGUUGCUUGAAGGUGCGGAUUAUGAGGAAACGUUUAGUUCGGAAAGCUUUUGACAUGAUUCUGGGAAUAUCCAUGAGUGAGAACAGAGAGGUAUAUUAUUAUUCUGAAAAUUUUUCAUUGUAUACACAGUUUUCUUUUAAUAUUUUUUGAAGUUGUAGAGUAGCUAGGAUAAAUUUAGGUGUAGAAGUAUCAAUAUUAUAUAUAUCUUAUCAGUUAUUUUAGGUCUCUUUUUAUAACUGCUGUUGAUAAAAGGAUGGUCUUUUUGUUAGUAUUUUACUGGCUGACUUGUUCUGUAUGCAGGACUAUGAGAAAUUCUGGGAGAACUUUGGCAAACACUUGAAAUUGGGUUGCAUUGAAGACCGUGAGAAUCACAAACGUCUUGCACCAUUGCUUCGCUUUUUCUCAUCCCAAAGUGAAGAAGAACUGAUUGGCUUGGAUGAAUAUGUUGAGAACAUGAAACCUGAUCAAAAGGAUAUCUAUUAUAUUGCUUCUGACAGUGUGACUAGUGCGAAGAACACACCUUUCUUGGAGAAACUUGCGGAGAAGGAUCUUGAAGUAAUCUUUGUUUUCUUACUAGUGUUUAUAACUUUGUAUCUUUUAAUUACUUAUUUCUAUCAGUUAAUACGUAUGUUGGUGUUUUUUGUAAUGUAAUUUUUCAGGUUCUGUUUUUGGUGGAUCCAAUAGAUGAGGUUGCCAUUCAAAACCUUAAAUCGUACAAGGAAAAGAAUUUUGUUGACAUUAGCAAAGAAGACUUGGAUCUAGGUUUAAUUUCUUUCUUCUCUAAACUUCCUCUCAAUAAUUUGAUUACACAAACACUCACAUUUUUGUCUAUCAAACAUUUGUUAGUCUCUCUCUGGUCUACAAUGGUGCGAAUUAAUAGCUCUGUUCUUUAUUGUUCAAGUUUGUUACGCAUUUGUUGUUUCUGCAGGUGAUAAGAAUGAGGAAAGGCAAAAAGAAAUGAAGCAGGAAUUUGGCCAAAUAUGUGACUGGAUCAAGAAACGACUGGGAGAUAAAGUUGCAAGUGUGCAAAUUUCAAACCGACUUAGCUCUUCACCUUGUGUUCUGGUGUCUGGAAAAUUUGGUUGGUCUGCAAACAUGGAAAGGUUGUCAUCUUUUCUCUUUAGAUUGAUCAUGUAUUUUGAACGUUUAAGUAACAAUGUGCAGCAUGUAAUCAAACUUACUGCAGGCUGAUGAAGGCACAAAGUAUGGGUGAUGCAUCCAGCUUGGAUUUCAUGAGGAGCAGAAGGGUGUUUGAGAUCAACCCUGACCAUGCCAUUAUCAGGAAUUUGGAUGUAAGAUAAAUGGCCAAUUCCCAUUUCCUUUCUUCGUCAUGAUUACUAAUUGAAAUUAAGAUAACGCAAUCAAAAUGGGUAAUCUUUUUCAGGCUGCAUGCAAAACAAAUCCCGAUGAUGAAGAUGCCCUCAGAGCUAUCGAACUUUUGUAUGAUGCAGCUUUGGUUUCCAGUGGUUUUACGGUGAGCUCAUACUUGAUAUUAUUGUUAUGUCCUUUAAGUUUCCAUUGUGAAGUCCUGAAGCUGUAUAUUUUGGCUCUUUGUUGGUGCACAGCCUGAGAAUCCAGCACAACUUGGAGGGAAGAUAUACGAGAUGAUGGGUAUGGCUCUCACAGGUAAAUGGUCAAAACCUGAUCAGUUUGAGUCCACUGUAACCAAACCCCACAUCCCAGAAACUGUAGAAGCUGAGGUUGUGGAACCUACUGAGGCUGGUCAGAAGUAAGAGGAGAGUAAUGUGGACAUUUUUGUUUUCUUCCCGAUCCCAUCUGUUCUUUCUUUGUAUUCUUGAAGAACAUGGGUCAUGGGUUUUGGUAGUAACCUUUUAUAGAUAUCAUGAGGAAUUCAGUGGCAAUGCUAUAUCUAGAAGCACGUGUAAUUCAUCCUUUCAGUUGUUUAUUUAGUCAAAAACAUCAAGCAUCGCCAUAUUUAUUUGGAUAAUUAUUUUUUACGGCAGCAUCUGAGAUAAGAAUGAUUGCCCAUAGAACUGUUACUUAUAAGGUUAAGGUAGGUCUUUUUUAAAUGUUAUUUCUUUUAAAUGAUAUGUUCGUGAUAUAUUCGUGUUGAAUAAAUAUAUGUUCGUGUUGAGUAUAUUUAUUGUAGUAUUGGUAGAAUAUGUAUUAGUAAAAUGUUUAAUUUAAAAAAUAAUUAUAUGGUAUUUGUAGAAUAUGUAUUAGUAAAAUGUUUUAUUUUAUGUAUUAGUAAAAUGUUUAAUUUAAAAAAUAAUUAUUGAAUUUCUGACAAUUUUAUAUGAUUCUAACAAUUUUUAAAAAGAAAAACAUAUUAAUUUUUUAAAUAUUAAAUUUAUUGUAUAUUUUCUAUUAUAAUUAAAAAAAUGAGAAAAAAAUCUGCCAAAAAAUUGAAAAAUUUAUUAAUUUAUAUAAUUUAUAAUUAUAUAAUAUAUACAUUUGUAUUUCAUACAUUUUAGAUUUUAGAGAUUGUUUCUCGUUUAUAUUUUAGAAAUUAUAAAAUGCUGAUAAUAUGAUGAUGUGCUAUGCUACCUGCUCCAUUAUUAUUAGAUUGGGUUGUGGGGGCUGCCAACUACUUUCCGUUCUAAAAGAUUACGCGUUGUCUUUGGGCAAUGCAUUGUCGUUUCAACAACCAAUACAAAUUGAAUAUUAAUCAUUUAGUACGAUAAAUGUGAUUGUGAUUGAACUUUCUAUAAUCAAGUCAUAGUUUAAAAAAUAAUAAUUUAAAAUUAAUUCAGGUAUGGAUAAAUUGUGUUUUAUAAUACUAGUUUAUAUCAGAAGUAGAUGUGUUUUACUCGAGUUAAAAAUAGUUAAAAGUUACAAUUUGUGAAAAUGCUUUCAAUAUUUUAAUAGAAAUAAAAAUAAUGGCUUAAAAUACUAUGCCUUUUGCUUUAAAAACUAAAAAAAAAAUCUAUUUCAAACAAUAUUUUCCAUUAAAAGUUGUCAACUUUUAUUUCUGUGAAUUUUUCAAUUAUGAACAGUGUUACUUACACAAUAUUUUUUUUCAUUAUAUCGUUUUUACUCAUGAAUUAUUAAAAAAAGAAUUAUAUAAGUUGAAGCCAAAGCUAAAUUCACGAGAGGAGAAGAAUAUCAUACUUCAAUAUUUUAACAAACCAUGAUGCGAUAAGUUGCGUGCACUCAUUGGUUGGAGGGCACUUAGUAGCGUAUAGAAACAGUGCUAACAGAACAUUCCAAGUCUCUUUACACUUUCUUUUUAACACCUAUUUCCUAUUUGUUAAAAUUCAUGUAGGUCCUACUACUUUAGGGAUGAAACUCACCAAAUAAGAAAUGAGACCCAUUAAAUAGGACCUGCAUAAAUUUUGCUCAACUGAAGAGAGAAUGUCAAAAGAAAAAUGUUAAAAAUUGUAUUGCUAGUAUUUAUCAUUACGUAAUAUUGGCAAUUUGGGCUAUACCAUCUCAUCCAUAUGACACACUGCAAUUCAUUGGCAAGUGACAAAAAUGAUGGUAUGGAUGAUGGUUGAAUGAGUAGUGUGCAUGAUGGUAUACAGAACACCCAAUUUGAUUGAAGCUACUCUUGAGAUGAUGAUAAAUAAACCCAGCAUAUGGAACGUGCACUCCAAUGUUAUAUCACAUAUAGAUUCCCUGCAGGGCACACAAAUUUUCAAAUUUAGUAAAGGGUGAUGAUGCAGAAGACAUAAGGGUAAGUUACUCAAUUGAAUGGCUAAAAGUCACAGUGGAAGCAGAGAUGCAUUUCACACGCAUAAGGGUAAGGCAUAUCAAUUGAAACUGGUGAUAAAAUUCGGUGACAUGCAGACUCAAAUUUUUCGAUGCUCAGACACCUAUGCUGAUGAGAUUGAAAACCAACAAAGUAAUAAUCUUAAAAAGUGAAACAUAGUAUUUCAAUAUGAAACAAAAAAGAAGGAACAACUUCCUAUGAAAAGAACAAAGCAGGGUGUUCCACAGAAUUUAUCAAGAGAAGGAAUACCAUUUGAAUGUGGACACCCUGAUUGGGUCAAAAGAUACCUUCUGCUAUUAUAUUAUUGGCUGUUGAUACAGUAUAGCAUGGCUUUUAUGGUACCUACGAUGAACUUGAAAGUGUAGGUGAGUGAGAUACAUUUCAGACUACAGAAUACAUCCAUCUUAAAGUGAAUUUUAGGCAUAGUAAGGAGAUAUAGGAAGAAAAAAGAGAAUUCAAUGAGAGCAAUGCUUUUAAUAAAUAUGUUUCUUUUUUAUUCAAUUAAUAAUGCAUAAAAAUAGGAAGCUAUAUUUUUCCUGAACAUAAUACAGUAAAUGGCUUCCAAAUUAACAGGUAAGAAAAAGUAUCCCCCACAAUAAGAUGUACCUUAGAUGAAUCUAUGCUUACCUGCUUAAGUUCUCAAAUCAAAUCUUUCUGAGUCAGGAUCACCAUGGAAAAUGUUGAGUAGAAUGUUAAGUAUUGAAUCACAAUAAUGCAUGCUAGCAUUCAAUCAACUUAAUGUCUGUUGAACAAAAAUCGGGUAAGGCGUGUCAAUGAUAUAAAAAUUAUUCAAGGGAAUAUGAAUCAAUUCAUGAAAAGCAAAACUCGGCUAUUACUAUUGCAGAAAAGUAAUUAUAUGAAUGCAAAUACCAAUUUAGAUUUAUAGAGCCUCUGCGUAUUUUAGCAAUGUUCCUUGUUUUUUAACAGUCUCGGCCCAAACUAACAAAGGAACUAUCUCACUAAUGACCAACACUAAUAGGCAUCUAACAUUGUCCAGCACAAAAGUUGCAUAGCCUCAAAUACCAAGGAAUGCUUAUUAGAUUAUGCAUUUCCUACUAAGCACAGUAGGACCAAAACAUAGAAAAGGCAUCAAAGAACAAGUAGCACAAAUUGCAACAUACCCAAGUUAUUUUUGGCAGAAAUCAUCAUGUUUUCCAACUUUUGAGCAGCCUCAGUCAUCCCUUGGGUGUUGUAUGCCAGGAUCAUGCUAGCGAAAGUGAUGUUAUCAGGUUCACAUUUUCUUUCUCUCAUGGCCAUGAAUAACUCGCACAUCUUUUUUAGGUCACCAGCCUGCCCAUAGGCACUGAUUAUGCAAUUAAAGAAGGGAGUAUCCAAUACUACAUCAGAAUUAUCAACAUGCCUCAUGAUUGACUCAACUUUGUCAAUACGUCCAGCUUUGCUAUAUGCACUGACAAGUGAGCAAUAAGUAAUAGAAUUAGGCUUCACUCCAAGAUGCUUCAUUUUUAGAAAAUGUUGAUCCAUCUUCUCAAUUUCUCCAGCUUUGCCAAACACCUCAAUGACAGUAUUAUACGUGACAAUUGUUGGAGAAAAAACCCUUCUCUCCAUGAAAUCAAUGACAGUCUUCAUCUUCUUAUACAUGCCAGCUUUGCCAUACGACUUUAUCAUCAAAUUGAAUGUUGUUAUGUCUGGUUUUAUGCCCAUUAGCUGAAAUUCAUCAUACCACUUCUCCAUCUUAUCAAUUUGCCCAUCCUUUCCAUGUGCUCCAACAAAAGAAUUCAGUGUGAAAACAUCUGGGUGGCAGUUGCCAUUUUCAAUCAUAUCAUUCAAUGUACUAUCCAUCUUUUCGAACAUGCCAGCCUUACCAUAUCCAUCAAUUAUGGAAUUAUAAGUCACAGAGCUACAUUCAAUGCCCAGAAAUGACAUCUCCGCAAGGACAUGUUCAAUCAAAUCAAAACGACAAAAUUUUGCACAGCAACUUACAAGGAUAGAAUAUGUGUAUAUAUCUGGUUCGCAGUCAACAACUGAUUUCAUAUCUUCAACAGUAGAAAAUGCCUGAUCAAGGAGACCACUUUGACCGUAAGCACUUACAAGAGCAGUGUAGACAUCAACAGUAGGUUUAAGCCCUUCAGAAAACAUGAUCUCAAAUAGAUGAGAAGCCUCUUCAGGCUGCUUGCACUUUCCAAGCAUCAUCAACAGUUUUGCAUAGGUUUGGCAUCGUGGUUCAUACCAGUUUUGCUUUCGAAGAAGUGCAAAAAUCUGCAAAAAGAAAUGGGUUGUACUUCAGACACAAAUGUUAAUCCUAAAAUCAAUUGCAGUCACGUUCCUCAGCCUAAACAAAAACUACUCAGGUAUUACAUUCAUAGACUACGAAAUAUUUCAAAUUCAAAGCACCCCUAGGUUUUUUGAAAAACAAAUUUGUGCUUGCAUGAAGGCAAAUGAACCAGGUGAAAGAGUGAAUCAAUAUUUCUCCCUAGAAAAAUAAGAUGUCCAUAACUCUCCAAGUCAUGCCAAUUGGAAAAAUCAUGGUCACACUCAAAAUGAAAAGUCAAGCAGUAAAUAAAAGCAUCACAUAAUAUUGUUCACAUUUAAACAUGGCAAUAUUUCCAGAAGAGAACAGAACAUCACACUUGACAUACUCCUUUCAUCUCUCCACAAAACCAACAGUAGUAACUCCGAAAUUUCACAAUCCCAAGAACAGCUCAAUCCAGUUAUUUACAGCACAACUUAUCAUUGCAUUGCACUCAAUCCAAAAAUUAAUUCUCAAAACAUGCAAAUGAAUUAAAGAGAGAUAAAACUAUCACCCAUCAUUUUACACCCGGUGAAGGGACUAAAUUAUCCCUAAUUUGAUUAUUUCAACAACUCAAUGCCCCUUAAGUGUAUUUAUUUUUUAUAUCCCACAAACUAUUAAGAAGUGGAUGUUCAGUGACAUGAAAGUCUCACAAACUCUUGCUAGAAUAAUUUUGAAAAUGGCACUGAUACUUUAGAUGAGUUUUGCUAAUCACACAUCUAUUAUGAAAUUUUCUAAUCUCUAGUCUCCUAUGGGAUUUCCAACACAAACAAACUCUAUCAAAUUCCGACCAAUGAAGUUUGGGUCCAAUCUAGCAGAAAAUCCCCACAUCAUGGAAGUGUCUAAACUCAGAAUUGGACAAACAAAAUUGUCUUUGCCUCGAGAGCGGAUUGCCAACGACAGCGUUUGAUGGCGUCAUCUAGGGCUUCGAGAAGGGCCUUUGGCCAGAGCUGUUUGUGGGAGUUGGACUUGGCCUUGUUCUGAACGCCUUUGAUGGCAGCUUCCGUUCGGAGAAUGCGCGACAACUCCUUCUUCGGCUCCCUCACCAACCCCGCACUCCCUGCUUUCGCCUUCCGCUUCAACGACACCACGUGAAAACGACGCCGUCUCUUUGGAAGAGCGUUGUUGGUUGCAGAAGUCAAGGGUGUGACGGAGGAGAUACCACACGACCAUGUCAAGUUCAUUGCAGACACACUCACACUCACUCACAACAAAUCAAAAUCAUUUUUAUAAUUCCAUUUUUUAAUUUUAAUUUAUGUAUUAGAACAAUAGGUUUUUGAGUUUUUUAUUUUGCUUUAAAAUGAUAAUUUUCAAGAUUUUUAAAACUAUUUUUCCAAUAAUAAGAUAAAUGAAUAUAACAUUAAAACUAUUUAAAUUUAUAUUUUUGAAAACGGUUUUAUUUGUUUAAAUUGAAAUAACGUUUUUAGUUUAUAAACAUGGCAACAUUCAUAUAAAUUUUAGUCAUAUUUUCGCUAGAAAAACACGGUAUGUUAAUUUAUAUAUUUUGUGUUUUUGUUAAAUAUAACCGUGUAAGUUAUUGAUAUUCAAUAUUGUGUAAUAAUGAUAUUCUUUAUUUAAUUUUUAAUAUUGAAUAUAAUUAGAUAUAAAUAAUAAAAUUAAAAAAUACGGAAAUAUAUUAUUGAACUAGUCAUAAAAUGGUUUCGGAUAUUGACUUGCUAUGUAGCAUAGAUACGGAUACGGAUAUUGAUACGAUACGGAUAUGGACACGGAGAUACUUAUAAUUUUUAAAAUGUAGGAUACGAGGACACGGAUCUAUAUAUUAUAUAAUUUUAAAUUAUAUAAAUUGAAAAUAAAUAUUUAUAUGCUAAAGUAUGUUUCGGAUUCUUUUUGAAAGUAGAAAGAUAUUUUUCAUGACUUGUUCAAAAGAAUUUGUUCCUUAUUUUUAUAAUUAUAAUAAAAAUUUAUAUAAUAAAUUUAACUUUUUAAAAAAUUAUUGUAUUUAUACCUUCUAAAAUUUUAGAAUUUUUAAAAAUUCAAUAAAUAUUUUUGAAUUGAACACUUCACCAAUAAACACGGAUACGAUAAGUCUCGUUUACUUGGCUGGUGAAAAGAUAACAGUGUUAACGUAACGGUCUUUGCAACCGCGUGGACCGGUCACCGUGUGAUAAAUAACACCGUUCUCCCAGUCACGGAGUAACAGUGAGUUUGAUCAUUCUCUUGGUCAUAUUCCGUUUUCUUCUUCAUUCGCCCUUUCACCGUUUCUUCUCUCCUUUGACCUAUCGAACCCCUCUCCUUGAUUCCUUGUGUUGUGUGAAGAACAUACUUUGCCUUCUCUUCUCCUCUCUCUGGUAAUUUUCUUCUCCUUUUCACUCAAUUUUUUAUUCUUAUUGUUUUAAGCAUAUCUUUGCUCUGACUCUGUGAAUUUCGAUGCACCUCCUUCAACUGUUGAAUUGAAACAUUCUUUGUAGCAAUUUUUUAAGUCUGAAUUUCAUUGUCAACUUGUGCUGUGGGUCGUUGAAGUUGUGUCUAUGAUUUGAUUUAUUUGAUAUGCUGUUUGAGUUUAUGAGCUAACUUGUUUUUUGCCAUCAGUUUGUGGAGAAAUUAGGGUUGAUUAAUUACUAAAUAGUUUGGUGUUUACUCUCUCCGAUCUCUGCCUCUUGCUUUGUCUUUCGUCGUGUUUCUGUAUUUUGGAGGUUUAUAUGGAGUUGGAUGAAAGCCUGCACCUGUUUGCAGAUUAUGAAUUUUCUCAAGUUCCUUUGACUGUGACAAAGAAUAUGUGUAGUUAUUUACAAACUAAUUUUUGUUUCUUGGGUAUGGUCUCUAG